GACGAACGCUGGCGGCGUGCUUAACACAUGCAAGUCGAACGGAAAGGCCCUGCUUUUGUGGGGUGCUCGAGUGGCGAACGGGUGAGUAACACGUGAGUAACCUGCCCUUGACUUUGGGAUAACUUCAGGAAACUGGGGCUAAUACCGGAUAGGAGCUCCUGCUGCAUGGUGGGGGGUGGAAAGUUUCGGCGGUUGGGGAUGGACUCGCGGCUUAUCGGCUUGUUGGUGGGGUAGUGGCUUACCAAGGCUUUGACGGGUAGCCGGCCUGAGAGGGUGACCGGCCACAUUGGGACUGAGAUACGGCCCAGACUCCUACGGGAGGCAGCAGUGGGGAAUAUUGCACAAUGGGCGGAAGCCUGAUGCAGCAACGCCGCGUGCGGGAUGACGGCCUUCGGGUUGUAAACCGCUUUCGCCUGUGACGAAGCGUGAGUGACGGUAAUGGGUAAAGAAGCACCGGCUAACUACGUG
RNAcentral lists this ribosomal RNA (468 nucleotides) under uncultured bacterium. Its description in RNAcentral is "partial 16S ribosomal RNA". It matches the Rfam family "Bacterial small subunit ribosomal RNA", at positions 28 to 507 of the family's 1533-position model. The record is from RNAcentral.